GUGGCACUUGAUCCAAAGAGAGCCUCUGAAAUGGCUGCACCCGAUAUCUCAGCAGGUUACCCCAUAGAGUGUUGAGUGGGCAACUCAAUUAUUCCCUCACCUGAAGAAGUCUGAAAGCAAGACGAAGAGAGUCCUUUUGCAAGAGUGAUGUACAAAGCCCUACGGACAUACAGACUUCGUGUGCAAGUCCUGUGGAGGAGAGGAGAUGAGAGAGCAAUCGGUUGGUGGCAUCUGGGGACAUUAAACAGUGACGUGGACACAGUGAUGGCCUGCAGUGGUGAACCAGUGAGGGAACAAGUCCUAUGGUUGGGGAGCUACCUGAGGCUGGAGAGCAGAGUACAGCCAGGCCCACAGUGGUGCAGCAUACCAGAGUCAAGGUCUCACUAGGAUGUCCAGGCUGGCCUCGAACUCCUGGGCUCAAGCAAUCCACCUGCCUUGGCCUCUGAAAGUGCAGGAAUUACAGCCUUAUCCAAAAUCUCUGGAGGUAACACCAGUGGAAGCAACCUUAGAAGAGGAAUGAGUUGGCAGGAGGCAAGAGGCAGGAAAGCACUGAGUAAGAGCUGGCAGUGUCAGUGUCAGCAUCAGAUCAAUUAUAGAGAAUGUUUCAUCAUGAGAUGUGAGCAUCAUGUUCCAGGCCCUGAGUGCUUCAUAAAAAAAAAAGUUCCUUUUCCACCAAAACAAUGCCCUGAUUUGAGUGCUUCAUCAAAAGAGAAAGAUUUCUCAUGAUAAACCAUAUUCUAAGCACUUAGAUCACAAUAUAGUAAAUUUUCAAAAGGAAGUCACUUUUGCCAAGAUAUAAAGGCUCAUGUACGUAAAUUCUAUGCUUCCAAUAUAAGUACAUUUCAA
Molecule: long non-coding RNA, 846 nt
Filed under: Homo sapiens (human)
Lineage: Eukaryota; Metazoa; Chordata; Mammalia; Primates; Hominidae
Description: non-protein coding lnc-EPG5-9:1
Source: RNAcentral